RNAcentral lists this small RNA (29 nucleotides) under Bombyx mori (domestic silkworm). Its description in RNAcentral is "ovarian small RNA-23254". The record is from RNAcentral. Lineage: Eukaryota; Metazoa; Arthropoda; Insecta; Lepidoptera; Bombycidae.
UAUAAAUGAAUCUAUGAUCUCGCCAAGAA